This 447-nucleotide ribosomal RNA is filed under the name uncultured bacterium. Its description in RNAcentral is "partial 16S ribosomal RNA". It matches the Rfam family "Bacterial small subunit ribosomal RNA", at positions 330 to 793 of the family's 1533-position model. The record is from RNAcentral.
UCCAGACUCCUACGGGAGGCAGCAGUGGGGGAUAUUGCACAAUGGGGGGAACCCUGAUGCAGCGACGCCGCGUGGGUGAAGGAGCGUUUCGGCGCGUAAAGCCCUAUCGGCAGGGAAGAAGGAGGACGGUACCUGACUAAGAAGCCCCGGCUAACUACGUGCCAGCAGCCGCGGUAAUACGUAGGGGGCAAGCGUUAUCCGGAUUUACUGGGUGUAAAGGGGGCGCAGACGGCAGCGCAAGCCAGGAGUGAAAGCCCGGGGCCCAGCCCCGGGACUGCUCUUGGAACUGCGCGGCUGGAGUGCAGGAGGGGCAGGCGGAAUUCCUGGUGUAGCAGUGAAAUGCGUAGAUAUCAGGAGGAACACCGGUGGCGAAGGCGGCCUGCUGGACUGCGACUGACGUUGAGGCCCGAAAGCGUGGGGAGCAAACAGGAUUAGAUACCCCUGUAU